This is a non-coding RNA of Equus caballus (horse), 146 nucleotides long. NCBI's taxonomy places the organism in Eukaryota, Metazoa, Chordata, Mammalia, Perissodactyla, Equidae. The record is from Rfam.
UAAAAUGACUGAUAAGAUUGCUGACCAUGGGCGCCCAGAGAGCUUCCAGAGACAACAUUCCUGCUGGCUGCUGGGUGAUAAAUUCCCAGCCCUGGCUUCUUUGCCAAGAUCCCCGUGGCUGGGCUCCGGCUCCAGAUUAAACUCCU